RNAcentral lists this ribosomal RNA (478 nucleotides) under uncultured microorganism. RNAcentral describes it as "bacterial SSU rRNA". It matches the Rfam family "Bacterial small subunit ribosomal RNA", at positions 9 to 490 of the family's 1533-position model. The record is from RNAcentral.
GAGUUUGAUCGUGGCUCAGGACGAACGCUGGCGGCGUGCUUAACACAUGCAAGUCGAACGAGAAUCUACUGAAAGAGUUUUCGGACAAUGGACGUAGAGGAAAGUGGCGGACGGGUGAGUAACGCGUGAGGAACCUGCCUUGAAGAGGGGACAACAGUUGGAAACGACUGCUAAUACCGCAUGAUGCAUAAGGGUCGCAUGAUUCUUAUGCCAAAGAUUUAUCGCUUCAAGAUGGCCUCGCGUUCUGAUUAGCUAGUUGGCGGGGUAACGGCCCACCAAGGCGACGAUCAGUAGCCGGACUGAGAGGUUGAACGGCCACAUUGGGACUGAAAUACGGCCCAGACUCCUACGGGAGGCAGCAGUGGGGAAUAUUGGGCAAUGGGCGCAAGCCUGACCCAGCAACGCCGCGUGAAGGAAGAAGGCUUUCGGUAUGUAAACUUCUAUCAGCAGGGAGAAAUGACGGUACCUGACUAAGAAG